UGUCGUGAUGGUGUUGAGCGGUGGU
Molecule: non-coding RNA, 25 nt
Filed under: Mus musculus (house mouse)
Lineage: Eukaryota; Metazoa; Chordata; Mammalia; Rodentia; Muridae
Source: RNAcentral